This is a long non-coding RNA of Oncorhynchus tshawytscha (Chinook salmon), 2063 nucleotides long. The record is from Ensembl. Lineage: Eukaryota; Metazoa; Chordata; Actinopteri; Salmoniformes; Salmonidae.
CCUCAUUAAAGUCCAGUAGAUCACUUCCUACUCAUCACUACAUCCUGUAUCUGGUCCUCAUUAAAGUCCAGUAGAUCACUUCCUACUCAUCACUACAUCCUGUAUCUGGUCCUCAUUAAAGUCCCGUAGAUCACUUCCUUAUUCACUCUUUUUGUUUGGUUUAUAAAGCUCUACUAUACAUGGUGGGUUAACUCUGAGGUUCCUAGGGUCGCCACCAAAUUAGGAGAAUCCGCUUUUAAUUUUAAUGUGCCUCACUGCAGAACGAAUAACAAUAGGAUAUUCUGGUGCAGUUUAGUGUGUUGGGGACCUAGUAGCUGAGGAAAGGAACGUUGUUGUGCUUUUAAAAAAAAACAUUUUAUAAGGCAUUGUAUUGAUUACUGUUUGGUUUCACAUCGUUUUUUUAUUUAUUGUUGUAGUACUGUAAAUCAGGGCACCCUGGGGGAUGACACCCUGGUCUCAUUGGUUUUCCCCUGAAUAAAUGAAAAAAAAAAAAAAAUGACAGAUCUGGAUUUAUGGUGGUGUGUGGGUCUGGCUGGUUGCCCAGGCGACUGACGACAGUAGACCUAUCCCUGACCUGCAGAUCUUUAGGCAUAGUGGAGACAGGACUCCACCUGCUGGUAAGAACCUAUUAUCAGAAUCUUCAUCCAUCCACUCCUCAUCAUCACCUCUCAAGCAAGGUUCAUGUGUAGUGGCAUGAUUUAAGCUACUGAUAUUGAAGGCGUAACCCGGGACUCGAUCCCGGGUCCAGCGACUAUCAAGCCAACACAUGAAAUCGCUACAUUAUAUCGGUUAACUCUGACACAACACCUUAAGACAUAGCCCACACAUGAACAAUGUAACCACGGACGUGGAGGGGGAAAAAAAAGACUGAUCCUAAAACAUAAAUUGACAGAUUUAAAUCAUCAAGGCACAACAAUCAUUGUCAGCUGAAAGGUCAAAAGGUCAGUUGAUAGAUGAGGUAGAACAACACGAGAGGCAUCUAUGGACAAUAUCGUCUCUGUCCCAAAUGGCACCAAAUCGAUUCCCUAUAUAGUGCACUACUUUUAACCAGGGCCUAUAGGGCUUUGGUCAAAUGUAGUGCACUAGGUAGGGAAUAGGGUGGCAUUUAUGGGUCUACCAUCCAUCAUUACCCAUAAUGCUUCAGGAAGGUUCUGUUUUUGACAAUAACUAUAAUGAUACAGUCUCCAGUCCACCAGUACAGGUAUUGUGAUACAGUCCACCAGUACAGGUAUUGUGAUAGUCUCCAGUCCACUAGUACAGGUAUUGUGAUACGGUCUCCAGUCCACUAGUACAGGUAUUGUGAUACAGUCCACUAGUACAGGUAUUGUGAUACAGUCCACUAGUACAGGUAUUGUGAUACAGUCCACUAGUACAGGUAUUGUGAUACAGUCCACUAGUACAGGUUUUUUUUUAACCUAGGAAUAUAGUGUUCUCUGCAGUGUGUUCUCUGCUGUCUGUGCAGUGUGUUCUCUGCUGUCUGUGCAGUGUGUUCUCUGCUGUCUGUGCUGUGCAGUGUGUUCUCUGCUGUCUGUGCAGUGUGUUCUCUGCUGUCUGUGCUGUGCAGUGUGUUCUCUGCAGUCUGUGCAGUGUGUUCUCUGCUUUCUGUUCUGUGCAGUGUGUUCUCUGCUGUCUGUGCUGUGCAGUGUGUUCUCUGCUGUCUGUGCAGUGUGUUCUCUGCUGUCUGCUGUGCAGUGUGUUCUCUGCAGUCUGUGCUGUGUGUUCUCUGCUGUCUGUGCUGUGCAGUGUGUUCUCUGCAGUGUGUUCUCUGCUCUGUGCAGUGUGUUCUCUGCUGUGUGUUCUCUGCUGUCUGUGCAGUGUGUUCUCUGCAGUCUGUGCAGUGUGUUCUCUGCUGUCUGUGCAGUGUGUUCUCUGCAGUCUGUGCAGUGUGUUCUCUGCUGUCUGUGCAGUGUGUUCUCUGCUGUCUGUGCAGUGUGUUCUCUGCUGUCUGUGCAGUGUGUUCUCUGCUGUCUGUGCAGUGUGUUCUCUGCUGUCUGUGCAGUGUGUUCUCUGCUGUCUGUGCAGUGUGUUCUCUGCAGUCUGUGCAGUGUGUUCUCUGCUGUCUG